CCAUGUUUAUUAAUUUUGUUUGACACCCUUUUUAUUUGUGUAGUGAACGCUGGUCUGUGAAGCAGGAUUAGUUUCAUCGGGAAAUAGGGAAUUAAUAAACAGAUACAUUAACAAAGUUGAAAGUUGAUAUAAGAGGUGAACAAUACAUUAAAUACUGGUUGUUCUAAGCCCUCACUCGACCAGGACUUCUCUCAGCACUUUAAAGUCUUAAAAUUUCUCGACUAAUAAACAGAUAAUUGGAUCAGCUUCAGUUGUGAAGGAUUACUGCAUAGUAUUUGGAAGGGACCAUUUACAGUACCUAUACUAAAGCCCUUCAGCCCAAGGUGAGCUGAGCUGAUUAUCGUGUACCCAAACAUUUCUACACAUUCUCCGAGUCAGGUAAUGUGCUUAUGGGGCCGUAAUUGUAAAAGGUUUUAAGUAGUU
Molecule: long non-coding RNA, 423 nt
Organism: Homarus americanus (American lobster)
Lineage: Eukaryota; Metazoa; Arthropoda; Malacostraca; Decapoda; Nephropidae
Exons: 3
Source: RefSeq, a predicted model, not a curated record